Molecule: ribosomal RNA, 343 nt
Filed under: uncultured soil bacterium
Lineage: Bacteria
Description: bacterial SSU rRNA
Rfam family: Bacterial small subunit ribosomal RNA
Source: RNAcentral
AGAUUGAACGCUGGCGGCAUGCUUUACACAUGCAAGUCGAACGGCAGCGCGGGGCAACCUGGCGGCGAGUGGCGAACGGGUGAGUAAUAUAUCGGAACGUACCCAAGAGUGGGGGAUAACGUAGCGAAAGUUACGCUAAUACCGCAUACGCCCUUCGGGGGAAAGCCGGGGAUCGCAAGACCUGGCGCGGAUAGAUGAGCCUAGGUCGGAUUAGCUAGUUGGUGAGGUAAUGGCUCACCAAGGCGACGAUCCGUAACUGGUCUGAGAGGAUGAUCAGUCACACUGGAACUGAGACACGGUCCAGACUCCUACGGGAGCAGCAGUGGGAAUAUUGGACAAUGGG